RNAcentral lists this ribosomal RNA (300 nucleotides) under uncultured Thermosphaera sp. RNAcentral's name for it is "bacterial SSU rRNA". It matches the Rfam family "Bacterial small subunit ribosomal RNA", at positions 496 to 795 of the family's 1533-position model. The record is from RNAcentral. Lineage: Archaea; Thermoproteati; Thermoproteota; Thermoprotei; Desulfurococcales; Desulfurococcaceae.
GCUGACGCUGGGCGUGCGAGGUCGGUAAUAGGGAGGGUGGUAGGUGUUUCCGGAGUUGCGGGGCGGAAAGAGGGCGCAGGCGGUCGUUAAAGGCGAGUGUGAAAGCCCCCGGCUCAACUGGGGAGGGGCACUCGAUACUGAUCGACUCGAAGGCAGGAGAGGGAAGUGGAAUUCCCGGUGUAGUGGUGAAAUGCGUAGAUAUCGGGAGGAACACCAGUGGCGAAGGCGACUUCCUGGCCUGUUCUUGACGCUGAGGCGCGAAAGCUAGGGGAGCAAACGGGAUUAGAUACCCCAGUAGUC